This is a transfer RNA of Daedalea quercina L-15889, 113 nucleotides long. It matches the Rfam family "tRNA". From Rfam's summary of the family: Transfer RNA (tRNA) molecules are approximately 80 nucleotides in length. The record is from Rfam. Lineage: Eukaryota; Fungi; Basidiomycota; Agaricomycetes; Polyporales; Fomitopsidaceae.
GGCGCUAUAGCCAAGUGGUUACGGCGACAGAUUAGAACCGAGUAGUUACAAGUAACUCAAUCAUCUUGAUCUGUUCCUCUUUGAGGGCGCAGGUUCGAAUCCUGCUGGCGUCG